Molecule: small nucleolar RNA, 131 nt
Organism: Pygocentrus nattereri (red-bellied piranha)
Lineage: Eukaryota; Metazoa; Chordata; Actinopteri; Characiformes; Serrasalmidae
Product: Small nucleolar RNA SNORA15
Source: Ensembl
GCAUGGCUGAAUUCUGUUUUACUGAAUCUGUUGUAAAUGCAGUCAGACACCAUGCAAGAGCACCUUUCUCUCUUAUUUUGAAAUGGUGAUGGAUGCUGGAAAUCUCAUCAAACAUUUAAGGGAGAACACAU